This 305-nucleotide long non-coding RNA is filed under the name Musa acuminata (dwarf banana). RNAcentral's name for it is "long non-coding RNA (MACU_LNC008664)". The record is from RNAcentral. Lineage: Eukaryota; Viridiplantae; Streptophyta; Magnoliopsida; Zingiberales; Musaceae.
GUGCUCGUCGUUGUAAUCGCUAGGGUUUGUUCCAAUAACGAGAGGAAGGGGGAGAAAAAUUCCAAAAAAUAUCUAUCCUGUGCGAGAGAUGGCGCAGGCUCCGAUGCAGCAUCAGGCGCCGAACGGGACGGUCGACAACAAUAUCGCCUCCGCCGGCGGGGGCCACUCCUCGCCGACGUCGCUGUACGUGGGUGACCUGCACGGGAGCGUGACGGACGCGCAGGUCUACGAUCUGUUCAGCCAGAUCGGCCCCUUGCUGUCGGUCCGGGUCUGCCAUGACGUCAAUACGCACCGAUCUCUCGGCU